Molecule: long non-coding RNA, 1217 nt
Filed under: Gallus gallus (chicken)
Lineage: Eukaryota; Metazoa; Chordata; Aves; Galliformes; Phasianidae
Description: lncRNA (ENSGALG00010026119.1)
Source: RNAcentral
AACCUAAUUUGCUCUAAUUCUGGGCUGGAGCCUUCCCUCAACAGCUGCUUCAGAAAACCAGUACCUACCUGACAGAUAACACCAGACGAACAGACUACUUGCUCUGUCUUGAAAAACUACUAAUAUUAGAGAAAAACAUGCAGCCUCAGCUCUGCCAUCUCACCACUUGUAGCAGCAUCAACUACGGAGGAACAUUCAGGAUCAGCAACCAAAUCUAACAAACUCUUCAUCCAAACCUCUUCAUCAAGAGGGAACACUGCUGUCAUGGAGAUCAGGCUGCUGGAGAUUAUAUCCUGACUCAUAACCAACUAUACUGUGGGAUAGAGGGAUGUGCAGAGUGAACCCACGUAAGAAAAAACUGUACGCAGGAGAAACCUGUGGCAAGCAUGGUGCUGCUAUGUAGUAACAGAACAUGAAUGGCCUGUGUGAAGCAGCCAUGGCAAAACCUUCCUGUCCUCUGGUCAUGCCUGUGAUAGCUGUAGCAUUAUAUUGCUUCUUCCUUUCUAGAAGAAAUGCUAGUGUGCCAGUGGUGAUUCCAUGGCAUCAAAGACGCAGAAGGACUCUGAACUAAAAAAACAGAACAGCAGAUGGAAAAACAUCCAUCAAAAGCCAUUAAGUAGAAAGGUGCUGCCUCCAGCUUAAAAAUUCUUUGGUGAGCAAAUUUCAGAAGGCUGGAAGAUGUCUCAGAAGAAACCAUUCAUUUUCAUGGUUCCUAUAUUCUUUCCUACAGCCAUGGUGUCAGCUACUUCCUGAGACAGAAUACACACAACAGGACAAUAUGUUGAUGAUAUGAUAAUUCUUUACCAUCUUAUGGGAGCACCUGUAUGAAUACUUAAUUCUUACUGACUUCAGUAAUGGCUUAAAGAAUUCAGAUCCAGAAGAAAAGAAGCUGGCUGAAUCAUCUCCCUCAAACAUGGAGCACAAAGAGCACACGGCCUUCUUUACUCCCACCCGCUGCUUUGCCCAAAGACUACUGCAACCUGAAUCCUAUUUGGUACCCAUUGUGGGUACUGGAUUUCUAAGGAUAAGGUUAAUUUAAAACCAACCUCCAUUAGUACAGACCAUUUUUGGAAACUUCCAGCCUAAAGCAUCAGGCACUCUCUGCAGGCAAGCAGACUUGAUCGUGUCUUGAUGGCAUGCAGUCUAAUUAGCAAAUCAGACUCCACUUAAUCAGAAGUCUUGUGCCCUUAACUAUUAAUUAAUUAAAGUUAUGUUUU